This 3921-nucleotide long non-coding RNA is filed under the name Nicotiana tabacum (common tobacco). Its description in RNAcentral is "long non-coding RNA (NTAB_LNC007486)". The record is from RNAcentral. Lineage: Eukaryota; Viridiplantae; Streptophyta; Magnoliopsida; Solanales; Solanaceae.
CGUUCUAUAUGUUUAAUUAGCUAUAUAUGCACCUAAGAUAAAAAGUGACUUUUGGGAGAAGUUCUGAUAAAUUCUAUCUUUAUUUCACAGAGCUCCAUGAUAUGUUUUGUGAAAGUGUUAGAUUUCAUUACUGUGUGAGAGAGAGAGUGCUGGUGAAAGUGUAAUUUGAAAUGAUGACGUAGAUCAAAGAAAGAAAGAUCUUCAUUGUCAAACCAAGGAAAGCAAAUCCAAACAAAGGAAGUGUCUAACACUAAAUAGCAGAGUUAACAGGAGAUGUGAAGAGAUUAUAAAACCUGAUGGCUAGCAGCUAAGUGACAAGCUGAUAGCUAACUACAGUUAAGCUUAAGUGUAAUAUUAACAAGAGUUAGUUAGUUAGAAGUUAGUGAAAGUCGGUUAGUGUUAAAGUCAGUAAGUUUGUUAAACUAUAGAAGAUUGUACAGAACUUAGGAUUUGAAAAAUGAAGUGAGUUGGUUCUCUUCUUCUCUCAUUCUUCUUUCAUUUUCUCCUUCUAAAUUCUUCCUUCACGUUAGCUUUGAUCACCAUUUCUAUGGCUGUUAAUAUGGUAUUAGAGCCAUCGGUGUGGAUCUAAGCAAGUUUGCGAACGAGUCUCUUCAUCUAGGUUGCUUCAAUUCUGCAAUUUGAGGUGCCGAAUUGUCUCAGAGCAAUUCUCGAUCGAAGCUAGGGUUUACAAAUUGUGUUUUGUGAAGCCAAUUCCCAGUCAACAAUGGCGGUUGAAGACGAUCAAAUCAACAAUACUACUCCUACUCACACUGCCACGACCUCAGCGAAUGGCAAUUUCAUGACUAGUACCUCAUUCCCUACCAUUGUCACCCGUUGUAUCUACAGCCAACCGACACACUAGUUAGUUCUCUGAUCUCUCUUCAACUUACUGGAUCUGAUAACUAUGCUUUGUGGAGUCGCGUAAUGAGAAUUGGCUUGCUAGGUAAGAGUAAAUUAGGAUUUGUCGACGGUAGGUUUCCUAAGUCUAAGUUUGAGCUUGAACUCCAUGAUCUGUGGGAGAAAGUGAAUGCUAUUGUUUUGUCAUGGAUAAUGAAUGCUAUGAGGCCAGGUUUGCUAAGUAGUGUCCUAUAUGCAUCUAGUGCUCAUAAAGUUUGGGAAGACUUAAAAGAGAGAUUUAAUAAAGUAAAUGGUUCCAGAAUUAUGUACCCAUAUAGGGAGGUUCACACUUUGACUCAAGGAGUUAUGAUUCUGACUAUUUCUCUAAACUAAGAGAGCUUUGGGAUGAGUUUGAUGCUCUUAUGCCGUGUCCUGGCUGUCCCUGUCCUGAGUCAAAGAAGUAUGCUCAACACUUUGAAUAUCAAAGGCUCUUUCAAUUUCUUGCUGGCUUAAAUGAGUCCUACUGUCAGUCAAGGAGUCAAAUCAUGAUGAUGUCUCCUUUGCCUAGUAUAAAUAAGGCCUAUUCUAUGUUAGUUGAUCAGGAAAGCAAAAGAAACCUUGCAAAUAUGACACAAGUGUAUAGCAGCAAGAACACAAAUAAUACUAAAAACUACAACUAAAGAGGAGGCAAGUUCAAUGUGAAUAUUGCUACUACAAGGUACAUACAAGGAAAAAUGCUAUAAGCUAGUUGGAUAUCCUCCGGAUUUCAAAUCCAAAAAGAAGGGAAUCAAUACUUGACAGUAUGCAAAUCAAGUGUAUGGUGCAGAGGUGAACUAUAUAGAUAGAUAUAUUAUGGGCAAGAAUGUAGCUUCUAGUGUGACUCAACAAGGCAGAGGAGGAAGUCGCUCUAAUUCAGGUGUUCCACAACCAGCAAAUCAACCUACUUUCUUCUAGCAAAUGCCACGUCCUACUCCUGUCUUUACUCCUGAACAAUAUCAGCAGAUUCUUCAUCUGUUGCCAAAAGGAAGCUCACGAGGAUCAGUCUCAUCAAGCAAAUCUGCUGCUGCAGGUAUUUUGAGCAAAGUGAAUGCUUUUAUGUCUCAUUAUGUUAAUGACAAGUGGAUUGUUGAUACCGGGGCAUCAAAUCACAUGACUUCAAGCCUAGACAUGUUGCACACUCAUAUGGCACUUCCAAACACAGAAGAAAAAAAAGUACACUUACCUACUAGAAGUGUUGUAUCAGUAUCACACACAGAAAAUACUUCUGUAUUAAGUAAUCAGGAAAUCUCUAAUGUUCUCUACAUUCCUGACUUUAAGUUCAACCCACUCACAGUUUCAAAACUCACUAUGGAACUAAAAUGUAUGGUUGGUUUCUUCCCUGACUUCUAUAUUUUUCAGGACCUCUUCAGUGGUCAGGUGAAGGGGAUUGGUAGGAGCAUAGAUUGUACGUACUGUGUGGGAGUACGUACAAUCUAUAUCAGCCUCAUCUUAGGUAACGAAUAAGUGCGUUAACAUAACAAAUGAUGUUUCUACUUCUACUUCUUCUGCUUCCAAUAGUUCUUCCAGGUUUAGUGUGUCUGUUUCUAGCAUUUGCAUUUUAUGACAUAAGAGAUUAGGACAUGCUCCCACAGACAUAAUAAAGAAGAUAGAGGCAUUGAGUAAGCCGACAACAGGUAACUCUAAUCAGCCCUGUACUGUAUGUCCUGUUGCUAAACAAACCAAAAUGCCCUUUUAGCUGAGUAAUACUGCAACAAAGACUAUUUUUGAACUAGUUCAUUGUGGUAUUUGGGGACCAUAUAGAGUACCUACUGCCAUACCUCCUUUUCCCCGAGGGAUAGAGAAUUUUUUCAAUUAAAGUGACAUUAAUAUAAAUGGGAUAGGGAUAGGGAGUUUUUUCAAUUAAAGUGACAUUAAUCAAAAUGGGAUUAUUUAUUUAAUCAGAGUCGCCACUUGGAAUAAUUUAUGGUGUCCCAAGUCACUGAUUUAUUUUAAAUCCCAAAUCGAGGAAAAUUGACUAUAUUUUUGGUCCGCGAGACAGACGUCCAAAUCCCAAACCAAUUAAUCACGAAAUGCAGAAAAAGGUUUAAUUGACAAAUUUAUUAUGGCAAAAGGAAACAAAAUAGAAUAAAGUUUGGAGAUAUAGAGAUAACACCAAGACAGCAAACCAAACGUAAACCUUUGGCCCGUCAACAUUGAAAGCAUUUUAAUUAGAGUCUUCAUUCAUGAUUAGCAAAUUAAUGAAACUAAAAUAUCUAAAUUAACAUGUCCAACAUAGUUUCCUUCGUCUCACAUUAACACAAUUAAACAGGUAACUCAAUGAAACACCGUUAAGGCUAGUCGAAGUAUGAAAUUUAUUUAAAAGUAGAAGAGAAUGGACCUUUAUAAUUGCUUGACUGUUUCCUUCAAAAUUCGAACAAGAAUGAAUCUCUGACCAGAGCCGGAACCGCUAAACGGAGAUCUCACCGGCUAGAUCGAACUGCGACCUUGAACCCGACCAAAGCUAUGGAUGGAGACGUUGGACUGAGAAGUAUCAGCUACAACAAAUGGGUCUCGGGUUAGUGUUCCAAUGAAUUUUGGGGCUGUGUGGGUUAGAGAAAUAUACUUAGGGUGUAUUUUACUUUUUGGAAGUUAGGGACGACAAAGAGCUUUUCUUUUCAGGUAUGAUCAGUGUCAAAUCUUCUUUUAUUUGACAAUAAACAAGAGGGUUUAAUUUCAGUGGUUCAAAUCUGGAUCAUCGCGCUGAAAUGGACAACAAUUACCAUCCUUCUUGUUGUUGCUACUGUUCUUCUAUGGAUAGGCUUAAUCCUCCAAGAUGAUUUCCGAUAAUGGGUGGGCGACUGCUUCUCUUUUUAUGUAUUAGGAGAUUAAAAUGUUGGGGGGAUUGGGCUUUUUUUAUUGGUUUUGGAUUCUUGAGGAAGAAGGAGAUGAGCAGCGGCUAUUUUUGCCUAAGCUCUCUCUUUACUGUCAUUUUUUAUGCAGGUUGCGGCUGAAGAGAUGGAGAGGGUGGGGAACGGCUGACCUCUCUUGUUUUAGAGAAUGAGAGCUUUUAAAAGAGUUCUCCAAAAUAUGGUUUUGGGAAGGAAG